GAUGAACGCUGGCGGCGUGCUUAAUACAUGCAAGUCGAGCGAACAGACGAGGCUCUUGCUCCUUUGACGUUAGCGGCGGACGGGUGAGAAACGCGUGGAUACCCUCCCUAUCAGACUGGGAUACCUUCGGGACAGCGGAUAUAAUACCAGAUAAUAUAUUGAACCGCAUUGUUCAAUGGUGAAAGACGGUUUUGCUGUCUCUAAUCGCUGGAUCCGCGCUGCAUUAGCUGGUUGGUAAGUUAACGGCUUACCAAGGCAACGAUGCGUAGCCGACCUGAGGGGGUGAUCGGCCACACGGGAGCUGGAACAGCGUCCAGACGCCUACGAGAGGCAGCAGUAGGGAAUGUUCCGCAAUGGUAGAAAGCAUGACGCAGCAACGCCGCGUCAGUGGUGAAGGCGUCCGGAUCGGAAAACUCUGUUAUUAGGGAAGAACAGAUGUGUAAGUAAACGUGCACGGCUUGACGGUAACGGAUCAGAAAGCAACGGCUAACUACGUG
RNAcentral lists this ribosomal RNA (497 nucleotides) under uncultured bacterium. RNAcentral's name for it is "partial 16S ribosomal RNA". It matches the Rfam family "Bacterial small subunit ribosomal RNA", at positions 28 to 507 of the family's 1533-position model. The record is from RNAcentral.